Papaver somniferum (opium poppy) is the source of this 1485-nucleotide long non-coding RNA. RefSeq lists it as uncharacterized. The transcript is spliced from 3 exons. The record is from RefSeq and is a predicted model, not a curated record. Lineage: Eukaryota; Viridiplantae; Streptophyta; Magnoliopsida; Ranunculales; Papaveraceae.
CAUUACCAUUACAGAGCUCUGCAAAACUUGAGAUUCACUGAAGAAGAAGAGAUUUCGAGGGAGAGAAAUCGCAAGCAAAUCCUUAUAAGAUUGUAUAGUUAGUGUGUAUGGUUUGUUAAUUCUCGUACGGUGAUUUUGUGAAGAUUUUGGAGCUAAGACUAGCAUCUGAUUGUUGAAUACGGUGGUUUUCUUACAAGAGAUUAACACAAUGUUUGCAGAUGAGGCUGGAAAUCGAUGAAUGGGAUAGAACUGGAAGUUGGGGUUUUGAAGUUGUAUGUGGAGAAAGUGCAGGGAAACAAUGGGUCUGGUGGUAUCUGUGAUGGAGAUGGAGUUGUGUUAUACAGUGGUUAAUGAAUCUGGUGAUGGAGAUGGAGUUGCAAUACAGGAGCUGAAGGUGAAGCGACAUGAAAGGGUUCUGGAUAGGGUUUAUGGAAUGACGUUCUUAUUGGUGAUUGUUGUUUGAAUGGCUUGAAGCAGGGUGGUGAUCUGGUGAAUGGAUAUGGGCCAGUGGUAAUCUUGUAAUGAAGAGGAGAUGCAGAUGGUUUUGUUGGGUUGCAGCUGCAGUUCAAGUUGAUGGUGGUCGCUAAAAUGAUAUGAUGAUGUGUUUGCUGUCGCAGUGCAGGUUACGGGGACUAGAUGAAUGUAUUAGGUUUACAAUGAAAUGGUGGAUGUUCAUUGAUGGCUUUGAGCUGAGAAGAUACAGGCAGGUGGUGUCAAAGUGAAUGUACUAGGUUUACAGUGAAUGGGUUGCUCUUUAAUUCGAAUUGCAGUUAAUGGGUUGCUCUUUGUGCAAGAGGUUGCUGGUGAAAAUGGCCAGAGCACACAUCUGGUAUGACCACAUUGAGGAGUGUAACAUAAUUUCAGGAGUUCGUUGUUAGCAGGGCAGAGAGGAACCAUGAUGGUAACAAUGCUGGUAAUGCCAGGAGGUUGGUCUAGAAUAUGGAGAAAAACAUAACAGAAGAGACUCAGAUUUAUGGCGAGCUCGAGGAAGGAAACGAGUAUGGAAUUGUCAGCCACCAUCUACACCAGCCACCACCAUUGUUUUUCCUAAACCAGUUUGCAUAUCCACUAGCAUACCACCAAAUCCUUACCACCACCAUUCCAGUGCAUAUUCCCCACCAGUUCACAUCAGUUCCAGAAAUUGAUAAACGUUCACAUCAUCACCAGCUUGCAGCAAACUGUGCAACACUAGGAACGACUUGGUAGCCAAGCCACGUCAGAAGAUGCCACGUGUCAGAGUUGGCCCCCGUCAGAGGAUGCCACAUGUCAGUGGUACACGUCAACAACUGCCACAUGUGAUAAUUUAACCAUGGUUAAUAGUAGCUGGAGUUAAAGAGAGGGUAUUUUGGUGACAACUAACACCGUUUUUUGCCCAAAUAGUUAUUUGGGACAGAACAUGAUUAUUUUGUAAACCAAUUUCAAAAGUGUGAUCAUUUUGUAAUCGAAUUACAAAAAGUAGGACCAUCUUAUAAUUGACCCUUAAUA